AGGUAUGAAGUACGAAGUAUCUUCUCCCUUCCAUAAAUGGCGCCACUGCUCCGUUAUUAGUCUAGUUAGACCAACGAGUUCAUUGCCACUUAUCUGAAUUCGUUGCUAGAAAAUGCUUGAGAAGAGCGAUGGACAUGGGAAUAGCACAUAUUAUAUGCUUGACAAUAAGCUAGAGACCCUUUACUGACGAUUCGAAGCAGUUCAAUAAAGCCAUAUGGAAGAUAUCUUCCUUCGACGGAUGUAACUUCUUCCAUCCAUGGAAAAGACCAACAGGAUGCGAAGUCUGGUAAUUCGUUAUUAAUACCACAUGGUAACACUAUUGAGAAUAGGUAGGUAAUUCUCAACAGGUAAUACCAAUGAAUUCAAAGUCAAGAUUCUCUAAAACACAUACUAUUUGCUGUAAUGACAUUGAACAAAUGUAAAGGCUUUCUAGAAUAUACCAUUUAAUGCCUCGGAAAAUUCAUGGGGUAUUACGAAAAAACAUACAAAAUUCCGAAUAAUGAUGCGACUGUGAUAAUAUUUAAUUGUAUGCAAUAUAAUGUACGGCUUAUUUUUAAAUGUAAAAUAAUUCCCACAUUUUUUCGUAUACGACGUAGCAAUUAUAUGUGUGUACUUACGAACACAAUAUAAUAAUCCUCAACAGAGAUAAUAAAUCAUAUUAAUAUCGA
Long non-coding RNA from Athalia rosae (coleseed sawfly), 668 nucleotides. RefSeq lists it as uncharacterized. The record is from RefSeq and is a predicted model, not a curated record. Lineage: Eukaryota; Metazoa; Arthropoda; Insecta; Hymenoptera; Athaliidae. The transcript has 2 exons.